CGGCAAGAGCUCAAAUUUGAAAGCUGGCCCCUUCGGGGUCCGCAUUGUAAUUUGCAGAGGAUGCUUCGGGAGUGGCCCCCAUCUAAGUGCCCUGGAACGGGCCGUCAUAGAGGGUGAGAAUCCCGUCUGGGAUGGGGUGUCCACGCCCGUGUGAAGCUCCUUCGAC
Molecule: ribosomal RNA, 166 nt
Filed under: Lophiostoma biappendiculatum
Lineage: Eukaryota; Fungi; Ascomycota; Dothideomycetes; Pleosporales; Lophiostomataceae
Description: Trematosphaeria biappendiculata partial large subunit ribosomal RNA
Rfam family: Eukaryotic large subunit ribosomal RNA
Source: RNAcentral